CCUACGGGAGGCAGCAGUGGGGGAUAUUGCACAAUGGGGGAAACCCUGAUGCAGCGACGCCGCGUGUGGGAAGACGGUCUUCUGGAUUGUAAACCACUGUCCCCAGGGACGAAAAUGACGGUACCUGGGGAGGAAGCUCCGGCUAACUACGUGCCAGCAGCCGCGGUAAUACGUAGGGAGCAAGCGUUGUCCGGAAUUACUGGGUGUAAAGGGAGCGUAGGCGGGGAUGCAAGUUGGGUGUAAAAACUACCGGCUCAAGCGAUAGUCGCACUCAAAACUGCAACUCUUGAGUGAAGUAGAGGCAGGCGGAAUGCCUAGUGUAGCGGUGAAAUGCGUAGAUAUUAGGAGGAACACCAGUGGCGAAGGCGGCCUGCUGGGCUUUUACUGACGCUGAGGCUCGAAAGUGUGGGGAGCAAACAGGAUUAGAUACCCUGGUAGUC
This 440-nucleotide ribosomal RNA is filed under the name uncultured bacterium. RNAcentral's name for it is "partial 16S ribosomal RNA". It matches the Rfam family "Bacterial small subunit ribosomal RNA", at positions 338 to 795 of the family's 1533-position model. The record is from RNAcentral.